CCUCCACCUUUAAAUAUGCAUUUCUAUAUUUGACAAGUCAAAUUAAAUGUUUUUGUUUUGUUUGUAAAUAUGUUAGUUUUUGUAUAUAUGUUAAGUUUUAAAGAGUUGGAUCUAGUCUUUAUUGGUGCUUUUUAUAGUUUUGUUUUUGAAAAAGCUUGUUUUUUUUAAAAGGGGACCUAUUAUGGUGUACCGUUGUACAUUUGUCUGUCUGUCAGUCCCUCAGUCCCCCAAAAGACUUUCACCCAAUUUAUAUGCAACUUUUGUGAUUUAAAAAUAUCUAUGAUGAAAGCCAAGAUGGGUACAGUGCUAAAUAAGAUGACCUCAAACUCUGCCAAGUAGGGUUCAGUUACUUUUGCCUUAUUUUGUAAUAGUGUCAAGAAAAGGUACUGUAAAAUUACACUGCCAAGUUGGGUGCAGAAACAUUUUUAAAAAAGUGCUUAUUGAUAUGACUUUAUAACUCACUGCCAAUAAUGUUUUAUUUUUCUUUGUUCACUCUUCAACAUGUUGUACAAUACCCCAAAAGACUGUCACCCAAUUUAUAUGCAACUUUUGUGAUUUAAAAAUAUCUAUGAUGAAAGCCAAGAUGGGUACAGUGCUAAAUAAGAUGACCUCAAACUCUGCCAAGUAGGGUUCAGUUACUUUUGCCUUAUUUUGUAAUAGUGUCAAGAUAAGGUACUGUAAAAUUACACUGCCAAGUUGGGUGCAGAAACAUUUUUAAAAAAGUGCUUAUUGAUAUGACUUUAUAAAUCACUGCCAAUAAUGUUUUAUUUUUCUUUGUUCACUCUUCAACAUGUUGUACAAAACCCCAAAAGACUUUCACCCAAUUUAUAUGCAACUUUUGUGAUUUAAAAAUAUCUAUGAUGAAAGCCAAGAUGGGUACAGUGCUAAAUAAGAUGACCUCAAACUCUGCCAAGUAGGGUUCAGUUACUUUUGCCUUAUUUUGUAAUAGUGUCAAGAUAAGGUACUGUAAAAUUACACUGCCAAGUUGGGUGCAG
This 995-nucleotide long non-coding RNA is filed under the name Mytilus galloprovincialis (Mediterranean mussel). The record is from RNAcentral. Lineage: Eukaryota; Metazoa; Mollusca; Bivalvia; Mytilida; Mytilidae.